Molecule: long non-coding RNA, 3704 nt
Organism: Phyllostomus discolor (pale spear-nosed bat)
Lineage: Eukaryota; Metazoa; Chordata; Mammalia; Chiroptera; Phyllostomidae
Exons: 2
Source: RefSeq, a predicted model, not a curated record
AGCUGUGACUAAGAUAUUUUGGGGGACCUGGAACAAUGUUAUACUUUUACCACAUAGGUUUAGUUUGUUGUAGUGUAUUUUAAAGCAUACUAAAUCCACAUUGCAUGGAGUGAUGUUAAGUGGAAUAAAGAUUGUACUGGGCUCUCCAUCAAUAUUUUAUAUUUUUGUAGAUUGUACCUGAAUAAUAAAGUACUGUGAAAACCCAAUAAGAGUUGGUUAGCCAGAAAACUGUAAAAAAAUUAUAAUAGAUACAUAAUUAUAAUUAAAUAUUUUUAUUAGCUAGACCCUGUAAUCAACUUUAUUAAUCACCAGGAAUACUAAAAUUCUGCUAAAUCUAGCUGUCACUGUGACAGAGAUGCAUAGAGCAUGGUUUUUGUAACACAAAGAAUCCUUUGAGCAAGGAUGACCAUACUUUUUUUCUGUACUUGAAGUGAUAGACACAAUUUGUGUAUAAUAUUUAUCUGUUAGUGGAAAGCCUUUUCUUCUUUCAGAUAUUCUCAAACUGCCACCCAUACAUAGUUCCUCUGCGCUGUGGGCCAGCAGCUUGUGUUUGUCUCACAGAUUGGGAGAGUAGAGAAGCCAAUCAUAAACCAUACCUGAUGACAUACUAUAGUGUCCUUUCAGUCCAGGUCUGACCUCCGAGACAGAGAAAUAAACAUGCACCAGUUUGUCAGUGAGGUCAUUCUCCUGCCAGCAAAAUAUUAGAAACCUUGUAAUGUGAGGUGGACAUGUUGUGGAUGUUAAACUUUUCUUUUUUCCUGACUUCAAGAUGGCAAAUAUUCUCAGGAUUUUUUUUUAUUGUUGCCUUAUUUGGAGGUGGUGGUAGCUCCAAAAAACAUUUGUUACUUUGACCUUUGGAAAAACAUGGAAAAUUUACAGUGCAUCAUUGUGAGUUGUGGGCCACUUUCAGCCAAUUGUCAAAACUGAUUCAUCUUUCAUUCUCUAGAGGAAUAGCACUGGGCCAGGAAGUCAGACCCACACUUCUUCCAGUCCAAAUAGUCCACUGUCUCUGACAGUGGCACUUGGGGACAGAGACAUAAUUGUCCAAGGGGAUGGGCAUAUUUGUAUCUUUCUUACUCCUCUCCCUCCAAAAACCAUGUUCCUUUCUCCCAAGUAUUUGUCUUCCUACAUAACUUUGAGGUCAUUCAUGAAUGGAUCUAACCCUGUUUUGAAUGUUUUAGCCUUUUUUCUCAGACUUAGUUUUCUGUUUUCUUAUUUUAAUUUCCAAACUUUCAGUUGUUUGUGAUUUCUUCAUUUAUGAUUUAGCUGAGGGGUGAGCAAACUUACUUUGUAAAGGCCAGAUAGUAAAUAUUUGAGGCUUCCUGAAACAGAUGGUCUCUGUUGCAACUACUGAAACCCACUGUUGUGAUGCAAAGACAGCCAUAAACAACUCAUAAAUGCACCAGUGUGGCUGUGUUCCAGAAAAACUUCAUUUAUGAAAGUAGGCAGCCAUCUGGAUUUGGCCCAUGGAUAGUAGUUUGCCAAGCCCCAAUUUAAAUCUCAGCAUUUUGUCUCCUAAAUCUCAGCCUUUUCUCCUGGAUUAUUUUAGUUGCUUUUCAAGUGUCUCCUGCUCUAUUGUGUCUUCCUGGGGUCCCAUUGAGCACAUUAUGUACUGCACUAGAUGAUGUACCGUAGUUGAAACGAGCAUAGUACAAUGUCUUUUGCUAGCUUUCCUCUCUGUGUCCAUGACUUGAUUGAUUUUAUAGUAAUUUAGUUGAUUGUUUUCAGGAAGUAUGUUCCAGUGGCUCAUCUUUAUAUUUGUGUCAUGAUUGAUAGCAUGGAGCCUGUCAUCCUUAAUAUGUUUUAUAUCAUUUUCUUACUAUCAUAUGUUUGCCUAUGUUUAAACUCAGCUUUCUAAUCCUUACUCCACAUCCAUCUUUUGAAUUUAUCACUGUCAGCUAGCAGAGCUGAAUGCAAUCAGUGGAUUUGGAGAUGUUCCUGAAUUUCUUCUUGCAAAUCAUUUGCAAGAAUUGUAAGGCAAAUCCAUCCUAGUGUUAAUUCCUUUGGUACUUUCAUUUUCUCUUCUCUUUCCAGAACUAGAGCCAUUUAGUCAUACUUUUUGUUAAUGUCUUUCUGAGCCACAUUUCUAUUUCUUUUGAAACAUUUCCCCAAACCCAUAGUGAUUCAGUCUUUUAUUGCAACAAAAAAUAUAAGUAAAUAUAACAAUUAUGGUUUUCUUCCAACAUAUUCAGCAGCAGGCUAGGAAUAACAUAAAACCUAGUUAUGUACAGAGGCUACUCCAAUCAUUUUCUUAUUUGCAAGUUCUUAUAACUGGUGUCUUGUUUGAUAGUGAACUAUUAAAGCACCUCAACAGGUCAGUCAUCUUAUUAAAUGUUUGACAUUUAUAAGGAAAUUAUCUUUCAUCUUAAGCUCUUGUCAUUAACAUUUUUUAAUUUGACUUACUAGUGAAAAGUAGUGAAUAUGCCUAUGUGUUUAUGAUGACAUCUGUAUUAGUAUAUUUUGCCACAGGAGGAAAGCAAACAUCCUCAUAACUUUAAGCUUUUUGUGGUGUGAAACUAUUAUAGUCUUUAUGAUUACCUCUGAGCUCUACUCUUCGUGUUGAAGAUACUUUCCUAGUGAAAAUAUACAUUAUCUAAACACUGUCCUAAUUUUAGUAGAAACAUGUGUUUCUACUAAACACAUGUUAAAGUUGGUUGUUCGGCCAAAUUUACUCUGCUGGUACAUAGUUCACACAUGAUAAACUAAUCUUUUUCUUUUGAAGAUUCAUUUUCUGGAGGUUGCUGUGUGGCCAAGUGGUUUUUUUUUUCCUUUAUGUGAUAGAGUACCAGAUGCCUGUCUGUUUUGUUCUAGAGAAAAAUUUCAAGACAUGUUUUAUCUCUUGUUAUACAUGUGCUAUGACAUCUUUUAGUACCAACUUUACCAGUUUUUUGAAGCUGGGAUCAAAAUUGUAUUUCCUAGGGUCCUUCCAUGUUGGGUCUUAUCACUCUGGUAUCCACAAAGAGCUUGAAAAUCUGCAAAAUUCCGAGUUGGGAUCACUGUAUCGUCAGUGUUCCUUUUAAAGACGUAUCUGCUCUAUUCUGUGCCCUUUACAUAAUAAGUGUGGCAUGAUUCCUUCUCUACUGGGAACAUUAAGACUAAGUCUACCUCUUGACAAGAUUCUCAUGUACAUGAAUGCAAAAUACUCAUGUGAAAGGUGAAAAUGUGAAGUAGAGGUUGACUUAGUUGCAUUGGGCCUGAUGGAAAGAGUGCUUGUACAAAAAAUGAGAUCUCUCCCUAAAUAUUUUACUAGAUGGCCUUAAGUUAUUUGCUUAACAUUUCUCUCCUUCCUUUUCCUGCUGGCUGCUUGCUUUGCAAAGUUGUUCUUAUUUGGAUGAAAUGAGAUUAUUAAAUUGAAAGGAUGUGACAACAUGAAGUUAUAAAAAGAUGGUAAUAAGAGCUAUUCCUAAAUGAAUAUUAUACCAGCCCAAGAGGUAAAUGAAGAAAAGGUUCUGGCUCUAGACAGCAGGCCUCCUCAAAGGAAAUUCUCAUCUUUGCUAUCAUUUCUAUAUUCACCCCCUUAAACUGUCCUGGAAGUCAGCAGUCCGUGUCCCUGGUGCAUGCAAAGUAUGUGAUCAAUACUGCUAGACUGCCUAGAGACUGGGGGUGGGACAUGCCUAAUUAUAUCCCCUUAUUACCACAACUUUUCCUCAGAAGGGCUUGUGUGGCUUAGUUCCCUAGAUAAUAAGCAAAAUGUAGAAGAACUU